UACAGAGGGUGCGCGCGUUAAUCGGAAUUACUGGGCGUAAAGCGUGCGUAGACGGUUGCGUAAGUCAGAUGUGAAAGCCCCGGGCUCAACCUGGGAAUUGCAUUUGAGACUGCGUAGCUAGGGUGCGGAAGAGGGAAGCGGAAUUUCCGGUGUAGCGGUGAAAUGCGUAGAUAUCGGAAGGAACACCAGUGGCGAAAGCGGCUUCCUGGUCCAGCACCGACGUUCAGGCACGAAAGCGUGGGGAGCAAACAGG
Molecule: ribosomal RNA, 253 nt
Filed under: uncultured bacterium
Lineage: Bacteria
Description: partial 16S ribosomal RNA
Rfam family: Bacterial small subunit ribosomal RNA
Source: RNAcentral